GACGAACGCUGGCGGCGUGCUUAACACAUGCAAGUCGAACGGAAAGGCCCUGCUUUUGUGGGGUGCUCGAGUGGCGAACGGGUGAGUAACACGUGAGUAACCUGCCCUUGACUUUGGGAUAACUUCAGGAAACUGGGGCGAAUACCGGAUAGGAGCUCCUGCUGCAUGGUGGGGGUUGGAAAGUUUCGGCGGUUGGGGAUGGACUCGCGGCUUAUCAGCUUGUUGGUGGGGUAGUGGCUUACCAAGGCUUUGACGGGUAGCCGGCCUGAGAGGGUUACCGGCCACAUUGGGCCUGAGAUACGGCGCAGACUCCUACGGGAGGCAGCAGUGGGGAGUAUUGCACAAUGGGGGGAAGCCUGAUGCAGCAACGCCGCGUGCGGGAUGACGGCCUUCGGGUUGUAAACCGCUUUCGCCUGUGACGAAGCGGGAGUGACGGUAAUGGGUAAAGAAGCACCGGCUAACUACGUG
This 468-nucleotide ribosomal RNA is filed under the name uncultured bacterium. RNAcentral's name for it is "partial 16S ribosomal RNA". It matches the Rfam family "Bacterial small subunit ribosomal RNA", at positions 28 to 507 of the family's 1533-position model. The record is from RNAcentral.